This 402-nucleotide long non-coding RNA is filed under the name Rattus norvegicus (Norway rat). Its description in RNAcentral is "long non-coding RNA NONRATT008638". Lineage: Eukaryota; Metazoa; Chordata; Mammalia; Rodentia; Muridae. The record is from RNAcentral.
GACUGCACUUGGGCAGCACUCAGAACAGCCUCACAGAAGCAGACUUCCAAGAGCUUGGGAGGAAGACAGAUGGCUAUUCAGGAGCAGAUAUAAGCAUCAUCGUACGGGAUGCACUUAUGCAGCCUGUGAGAAAAGUUCAGUCGGCUACUCACUUCAAAAAGGUUCUGCUUCUACCCCAUGGUGAAAAGAAGUGGGAGCUGGAACCUGGAGACAGAGACUGAUGCAGAGACAUGGAGGGGUGCUUCUGACUGGCACUCCUUUCUAUAAGCACAGGACUUCCCACAGUGGGCUCGGCCCUCCCAUGCAGGUCCUAAUCAAGAAAUGUUCCACAGACUUGCCUGUAGGCCAGUCUGGGAAAAGCAUCUACCUUGUGUCAAGUUGACAUAAAGCUAACUAGCACAG